Molecule: transfer RNA, 73 nt
Filed under: Scleropages formosus (Asian bonytongue)
Lineage: Eukaryota; Metazoa; Chordata; Actinopteri; Osteoglossiformes; Osteoglossidae
Description: tRNA-Arg
Rfam family: tRNA
About the family: Transfer RNA (tRNA) molecules are approximately 80 nucleotides in length. Their secondary structure includes four short double-helical elements and three loops (D, anti-codon, and T loops).
Source: RNAcentral
GACUCUGUGGCACAAAGGAUAGUGCAUUGGACUUCUAAUUCAAAGGUUGUGGGUUCGAGUCCCACCAGAGUCA